RNAcentral lists this ribosomal RNA (447 nucleotides) under Acinetobacter baumannii. Its description in RNAcentral is "bacterial SSU rRNA". It matches the Rfam family "Bacterial small subunit ribosomal RNA", at positions 30 to 490 of the family's 1533-position model. The record is from RNAcentral. Lineage: Bacteria; Pseudomonadati; Pseudomonadota; Gammaproteobacteria; Moraxellales; Moraxellaceae.
AUUGAACGCUGGCGGCAGGCUUAACACAUGCAAGUCGAGCGGAGAUGAGGUGCUUGCACCUUAUCUUAGCGGCGGACGGGUGAGUAAUGCUUAGGAAUCUGCCUAUUAGUGGGGGACAACAUUCCGAAAGGGAUGCUAAUACCGCAUACGUCCUACGGGAGAAAGCAGGGGAUCUUCGGACCUUGCGCUAAUAGAUGAGCCUAAGUCGGAUUAGCUAGUUGGUGGGGUAAAGGCCUACCAAGGCGACGAUCUGUAGCGGGUCUGAGAGGAUGAUCCGCCACACUGGGACUGAGACACGGCCCAGACUCCUACGGGAGGCAGCAGUGGGGAAUAUUGGACAAUGGGGGGAACCCUGAUCCAGCCAUGCCGCGUGUGUGAAGAAGGCCUUAUGGUUGUAAAGCACUUUAAGCGAGGAGGAGGCUACUGAGACUAAUACUCCUGGAUAAG